GGCCUGAGAACAAAUGCAUUUAGCAUUACACAGUUUGGAAGUGGUAGUAGCAAGACUCAGACACAUCUGUUAAUGGCAGAUGUCCACGGCCACACCCUGCAUCCCAAAUGGGAAGGGCUGGAGGGCAAGCUGUGCUGUCUGCAGGGAGGCCACCUCUAACUGGCGUUUCCACUCACGGCAGGUGGCUGUGCCCAACUGGUAUACAUACAGGUUUCAGUGACAAGGGCAGGAAAGGGAAUCUGUCGUGCUCUGGGAGCUUUGAAUCAAGGCAUGGUGAGUCAGUACUUAUUAUCUACAAAGUACAGCCAAAUUGGGCUUCUCUGGUGGCACUACUGGUAAAGAACCCACUUGCAAAUGCAGGAGAUGUAAGAGAGUGAUGCAGGUUUGAACCUUGGGUCAGGAAGAUCUCCUGGAGGAAGACAUGGCAACCCACUGCAGUAUUCUUGCCUGGAGAAUCCCAUGGGCAAAGGAGCCUGGCGGGCUGCAGUCCAUGGGGAGUGACUGCAGACUGCAGAGAGUCAGGCAUGACUGAAGCGCUAUAGCAUGCAUCACACACAGCUGAAUUACAAUCCAGAACACUGAAAAGAGAGUUCCAGAAAAACAUCUACUUUUGCUUUAUUGACAAUGCCAAAGCCUUUGACUGUGUGGAUCACCACAAACUGUAGAAAAUUCUUAAAGAGAUGGAAAUAUCAGACCAUCUUACCUGCCUCCUGAAAAAUCUGUAUGCAGGUAAGGAAGCAACAGUUAGAACUGGACAUGGAGCAACAGACUGGUUCCAAAUAGGGAAAGGAGUACGUCAAGGCUGUAGAUUGCCACCCUGCUUAUUUAACUUCUAUGCAGAGCACAUCAUGCGAAAUAGUGGGCUGGAUGAAGCACAGCUGGAAUCAAGAUUGCCGGGAGAAAUAUCAAUAACCUCAGAUAUUUUUUCUUAAAAAUUAAGAAAAUGUUAGAUAUAUAACUAAUUCAUAAGAUACAUGUAGAUACUAGUCAAUUUUUCCACUUACUACCAUAAAAAUAUUCAUAAAUCUAUUAUAAAAAGUUAAAAUUUACCCAAACUUUUGCAAAAAAAAUCCUUGCAUACCAUACAUGGCAACAUCCAUUACAG
This 1105-nucleotide long non-coding RNA is filed under the name Bos indicus x Bos taurus (hybrid cattle). RNAcentral describes it as "lncRNA (ENSBIXG00000001976.1)". The record is from RNAcentral. Lineage: Eukaryota; Metazoa; Chordata; Mammalia; Artiodactyla; Bovidae.